CUAGUAUAAGCACUUAUACCGUGAAACUGCGAAUGGCUCAUUAAAUCAGUUAUCGUUUAUUUGAUAGUACCUUACUACUUGGAUAACCGUGGUAAUUCUAGAGCUAAUACAUGCUAAAAACCCCGACUUCGGGAGGGGUGUAUUUAUUAGAUAAAAAACCAAUGCCCUUCGGGGCUCUUUGGUGAUUCAUGAUAACUUAACGGAUCGCAUGGCCUUGCGCCGGCGACGGUUCAUUCAAAUUUCUGCCCUAUCAACUUUCGAUGGUAAGGUAUUGGCUUACCAUGGUUUCAACGGGUAACGGGGAAUUAGGGUUCGAUUCCGGAGAGGGAGCCUGAGAAACGGCUACCACAUCCAAGGAAGGCAGCAGGCGCGCAAAUUACCCAAUCCCGACACGGGGAGGUAGUGACAAUAAAUACUGAUACAGGGCUCUUUUGGGUCUUGUAAUUGGAAUGAGUACAAUUUAAACCCCUUAACGAGGAACAAUUGGAGGGCAAGUCUGGUGCCAGCAGCCGCGGUAAUUCCAGCUCCAAUAGCGUAUAUUAAAGUUGUUGCAGUUAAAAAGCUCGUAGUUGAACCUUGGGCCUGGCUGGCCGGUCCGCCUCACCGCGUGCACUGGUCCGGCCGGGCCUUUCCUUCUGGAGAGCCCCAUGCCCUUCACUGGGUGUGCGGGGGAACCAGGACUUUUACUUUGAAAAAAUUAGAGUGUUCAAAGCAGGCCUUUGCUCGAAUACAUUAGCAUGGAAUAAUAAAAUAGGACGUGCGGUCCUAUUUUGUUGGUUUCUAGGACCGCCGUAAUGAUUAAUAGGGAUAGUCGGGGGCAUCCGUAUUCAAUUGUCAGAGGUGAAAUUCUUGGAUUUAUUGAAGACGAACUACUGCGAAAGCAUUUGCCAAGGAUGUUUUCAUUAAUCAGUGAACGAAAGUUAGGGGAUCGAAGACGAUCAGAUACCGUCGUAGUCUUAACCGUAAACUAUGCCGACUAGGGAUCGGGCGAUGUUACUAUUUUGACUCGCUCGGCACCUUACGAGAAAUCAAAGUUUUUGGGUCUGGGGGG
This 1051-nucleotide ribosomal RNA is filed under the name Fissuroma arengae. RNAcentral's name for it is "SSU rRNA". It matches the Rfam family "Eukaryotic small subunit ribosomal RNA", at positions 60 to 1121 of the family's 1831-position model. Lineage: Eukaryota; Fungi; Ascomycota; Dothideomycetes; Pleosporales; Aigialaceae. The record is from RNAcentral.